UACGUAGGGGGCAAGCGUUGUCCGGAAUCAUUGGGCGUAAAGAGCGUGUAGGCGGCCUGAUAAGUCGGUUGUGAAAGUCAAGGGCUCAACCCUUGAAUGCCGACCGAUACUGUCAGGCUAGAGUCCGGAAGAGGCGAGUGGAAUUCCUGGUGUAGCGGUGAAAUGCGCAGAUAUCAGGAGGAACACCUAUGGCGAAGGCAGCUCGCUGGGACGGUACUGACGCUGAGACGCGAAAGCGUGGGGAGCAAACAGG
This 253-nucleotide ribosomal RNA is filed under the name uncultured bacterium. RNAcentral describes it as "partial 16S ribosomal RNA". It matches the Rfam family "Bacterial small subunit ribosomal RNA", at positions 524 to 776 of the family's 1533-position model. The record is from RNAcentral.